Molecule: small nuclear RNA, 340 nt
Filed under: Cyanistes caeruleus (blue tit)
Lineage: Eukaryota; Metazoa; Chordata; Aves; Passeriformes; Paridae
Description: 7SK RNA (ENSCCEG00000000427.1)
Rfam family: 7SK RNA
About the family: 7SK was discovered as an abundant small nuclear RNA in the mid-70s but a possible function has only recently been suggested. Two independent studies have found that 7SK RNA binds the CDK9/cyclin T complex (known as elongation factor P-TEFb).
Source: Rfam by way of RNAcentral
CAAUGUGAGGGCCAUCUGCCUGUGACACCCGUCACCACACUGAUCUCCAGCCUUGAGUCUGCCCAUGUGCCUGCCCAAGCCCAGGUCCCCUUCCUCACCCAGCGCUCCAUGUGCAUCCCUCCCAAAGCUGAUGGGGCACCGAGUACGACCUCCCCGAUACACACAGAGCAUUUUAUCACACAAGGUUAUUUGAUAGCUGCGCUCCCUGCUACAACUUACAAACCUGACCAAGCUCCAUUCCUCCAUAGGAGGGGUUUCCUGGUAGUAAAAAAUAAAAUUUAAAAAAAAACAAGACUGAAAGAGCAUCCCAAUAAAUGGGAGGGAUUCAUGUGGUGCAUUG